GUGUCUGCAUUGGUGGGACCACAUUGGAGGAUCCAGAGGGGCAGCCCUGGGCCAUGACUCUGCUCUGCUCCUGUGGCAGGAAUCGAAGCCACCUAUAAUCAGGGCUGCUGCAGUUGCAGCCUACGAGGGGACCCUGGGAUGUUUAACUGGGGGAUAUCACCUGCUGUUCUACAUGGCUGCACCAUGUUACCCUUCCACCAGCAGUGUCUGAGAGUUCCAAUUGCUCUGCGUCUUCACCAGCACCAUGUAUAUUCUUCCUGCUGUGUUUGUUUUAAUUUUAGCUGUUCUGGUGAGGAAAUCUUAUUUUUAGUUCUUGUCUUACACACUUAAAAAUGAGGCUUGAAGAGAUUAAAUAAAACCUUAAAAGGCAGGUAGAGAGUUGAAGUUUCUGAAGGAAGACAAGGGAGCAGGACCAAGACCACUCCAGGGAGGCCUUCUGAGCUUGUUGUACAUUUCCCAUCCACUCCUCAGACUGUUUUUCCCAGACAACAAAAAGUAUCAUCUGAAAUGUUACCAGAUUUUAAUGAGACUUCUGGUGCUGAAAGAAAACAAAACUUAAGUGAAGAUCAAGAGGAGAAACAGAAACCAAGAGUGAAUGAAGGGUUUAAACCAGUAUCUCAAGGACGAAUGAAGAAGUUAAGGAAACAGAAACAAAGGGAAGAACAAAGAGAACUCCGCAAACAAAAGUGGAAAGAAAAAUGCAAGGGAAAGAAAUUAGAAUGACAAUGUCAACUGGAAUCAAACCCAGAUGGAAAUGACAGAAAACGUGUUCAAAGACAAGUCAUCCAGAGCACACUCUGCCUUGUCAUUGACUGCCAUUUUGAUGAUUUGAUGGUCUUACAGGAUAUUAAGAAACUUCAUAGGCAGAUUCAGCGAUCUUAUGCAGAAAACCAAAGAGCAUUGCACCCCAGCAGAUUUUCUUGACAAGCCAUGGAGGCCAGCUGAAAAGGAACAUGGAUGACAAUGACAAAGGAUGGGUCAACUGGAAGGAUAUCCACAUCAAACCAGAGCUCUGUAGUGAACUCAUAAAAAAAGAAGACCUUGUGUAUCUUACAUCAGAUUCCCCUAACACACUGCAGGAAUUAGAUGAGUCAAGGGCCUAUGUGAUUGGAGGAUUGGCAGACCACAACCAUCACAAGGGAUUCACGUAGAAACAAGAUCGGAUUAUGGGAUUGAUCAUGCUCAGCUCCCCCACAGAAAUUCUGUGAAGAUGAACAGUCGGAAAGGUCUGACAGUUGAUCAUGUAUUUGAGAUUAUCCUGGAAUACCUGCAAACAAGAGACUGGCAAGAAGCAUUUUUUUACUAUCUUACCCCAGCGGAAAGGAGCUGUCUCCACAGACAAAGCCUGUGACAGUUCCUCCCAGGACCAGCAGGGUGCUGGGGCUGAAGGUGGACUGGACAGUGAGGCGGAAUGCUGCAGGAAUCAACCGGAUUCCCCACAUCCAGAGGACGCGCAGGAUGAGGAAAGCCACUGAGUCCACGUGAGUCCGCCCCGCUAACACUACCUGGUUCCCUCUGAGCUUAGGGACACAUUAGGAGGAGGUGACAAAUGAGGUGCUUCACAGAACUGUCGGCUUGUAGAAGAAUGUUAUUUUCUCUUAUUUAUAUUGUGAAUUUAAAACUUAUGGAACUAAAUAACAAAAGGUCCUUUAUACUUUUAAAGACUUUUUUUGUAUUUGUGUAAAAUUUAAACAUGCAUAUCUUUGUUGUUAUUGUUUAGCUUUGAAUAAGAGUUUUAGAAGAUUUAGUUUAUUACUGGUAGUACACCUUCAUUCUCCUUCGCUUGCCGCAGUGCAUUCUCCAGAAUGUGCCUUCUGACCUCUCAGUUUUAUUAUGCUAUGUUUAGACCAACACCUUUCUGCUCUAUGGCCUGUUUAUUUGCGGGGCAGAUAUUCAUUAACAAACUAUAAGUGUACUAGAGGGUUGGAUAGGGGAAUUACCCUUUAUUUGCAGCUUUCACCUUCAACUUGGGUAUUGCAAAGAAAAUAUCAUAACUCUGGGAAGAAACGCGAUGUGCUGGACUCAACUUCAUCUCUUCUGGGCUGUGGAGCCCUAACCUGUGCCUCCUUUACUCAUUUGAUGAAAGCCAUAAUUCCAAGAAGAGGUGAUGACAUCCUGCUUGAGAUACACAAAGGCCUUCAUCUGUCAGCACCAUGUGGAAAACCAAGAAACUCUAAUGAUGAGAAUGUAAAAUCAGGCUGCACAGAUACAUAACAACUAUUCCACCCAAGAUUAAACAGAGCAGAACAUAAGUUAGGGCUUUCAAAAGAUCAUUUGAU
Long non-coding RNA from Heterocephalus glaber (naked mole-rat), 2279 nucleotides. NCBI's taxonomy places the organism in Eukaryota, Metazoa, Chordata, Mammalia, Rodentia, Bathyergidae. The record is from Ensembl.